UCUACGGGUGGCUGCAGUGAGGAAUAUUGGUCAAUGGGCGAGAGCCUGAACCAGCCAAGUCGCGUGAGGGAAGACGGUCCUAUGGAUUGUAAACCUCUUUUGUCGGGGAGCAAAAAGGCCUCGUGAGGCCACAAGUGAGAGUACCCGAAGAAAAAGCAUCGGCUAACUACGUGCCAGCAGCCGCGGUAAUACGGAGGAUGCGAGCGUUAUUCGGAUUUAUUGGGGGUAAAGGGUGCGUAGGCGGACGGGAAAGUCAGCGGUAAAACCGAGAGGGUAAACCGCUUUCCGCCGUUGAAACUGUCGGUCUUGAGUGGGCGAGAAGUAUGCGGAAUGCGUGGUGUAGCGGUGAAAUGCAUAGAUAUCACGAAGAACUCCGAUUGCGAAGGCAGCAUACCGGCGCCCGACUGACGCUGAGGCACGAAAGCGUGGGUAUCGAACAGGAUUAGAUACCCGUGUAGUC
This 460-nucleotide ribosomal RNA is filed under the name uncultured bacterium. RNAcentral describes it as "partial 16S ribosomal RNA". It matches the Rfam family "Bacterial small subunit ribosomal RNA", at positions 338 to 795 of the family's 1533-position model. The record is from RNAcentral.